RNAcentral lists this ribosomal RNA (468 nucleotides) under uncultured bacterium. RNAcentral's name for it is "partial 16S ribosomal RNA". It matches the Rfam family "Bacterial small subunit ribosomal RNA", at positions 28 to 507 of the family's 1533-position model. The record is from RNAcentral.
GACGAACGCUGGCGGCGUGCUUAACACAUGCAAGUCGAACGGAAAGGCGCUGAGUUUGUGGGGUGCUCGUGUGGCGAACGGGUGAGUAAAACGUGAGUAACCUGCCCUUGACAUUGGGAUAACUUCUGGAAACAGGGGCUAAUACCGGAUAGAAGCUCCUGCUGCAUGGUGGGGGAUGGAAAGAUUCGGUGGUUGGGGAUGGUCUGGCGGCUUAUCAGCUUGUUGGGGGGGUAGUUGAUUACCAAGGCUUUGACGGGUAGCCGGCCUGAGAGGGUGACCGGCCACCUUGGUCCUGCGAUACGGCCCAGACUCCUACGUUACGCAGCAGUGGAGAACAUUACACAAUGGGCGGAAGUCUGAUGCAGCAACGCCGCGUGCGGGAUGACGUCCUUCGGGUUGUAAACCGCUUUCGCCUUUGCCGAACCGUGAGUGACGGUAAUUGGUAAAGAAGCACCGGCUAACUACGUG